This 4420-nucleotide transfer RNA is filed under the name Octopus sinensis (East Asian common octopus). RNAcentral's name for it is "uncharacterized LOC118766736". The record is from RNAcentral. Lineage: Eukaryota; Metazoa; Mollusca; Cephalopoda; Octopoda; Octopodidae.
AUUUAAAAAUAAAGCAAACACUAAAAAUAAAUUAUAAUUAGAACAGAAAAAAAAAAACCUAUUAAAUUUAUUUUCAAGGUAAUAAAUGUUAAGAUCACCUAUAUUACAGCUGAGUUUGUGAGUUGCAAGGAUGUUGUCAGAGGUAUGGGUUUGUCUUCAGAUUUCGUUCCAUUUUCCCGUUUUUCUUUUUUUCUUUCUUUUUUUUUUUUUGCUCUCUAUAAAUCUAAUAUUUUGCAACAUAUUUAUAUCAUACAUGCAUACAUAUAUAUGUUUGUGUGUGUGUAUGUAGAUACAUAUUAGGUUCUUCAUCAGAAGUCUGAGACAACCUGUUGUACAAUUAACAAGUUGAUUAGUGGGCGGGGUGUACAGAGUAAAAUAUUGUCAUGUAUGUAUAUGGCUUGCAGUGGCACCAAUAUUUUAGAACUCUUUAUUCUCAGGGGCACUGGGAAGAAUCAUUUGGUACCACCAUGGACCACUUGUGUGUGUGUGCAGCAUGUAUGUAUGUAUGUAUGUGUGUGUGUGUGUGUAUAUAUAUAUAUAUAUAUAUAUAGCCCUAUACAUGUGCAUGCACAUAUACAUAUAAUUGAUUAUUAGUUUCCUUUUUUGAUUAAUUAUUCUUAUGUUAAUAUGAAAAAUACCCAGUUGUCCCAAAUUUAUUUCUGCUUCUGUGUUUCAUUCAAAGAUGGUGCUUUUAUAUGAAGUUUAGAAAGGAACAGGGAAGACCGUCAAUCCUGGUCAAUGUUCAGCUCUGAUGAACCCCUGCGACUGAUGUUGCGUAUUUUAACAAUAAGGUUUUAUGACAAUACCUGCCAUCUUUGAAAUAGAACCUAAUUGUGGAAGCAAUUUCUUAAUGAGAUAUUUACUCUAAUUUACUUAUUUAUCAUUUUUAAAUAUUCAACUUAUUAGAUCAGUUCUUUCCUCAAUUUUAUUUUAUUUUAUUUUGCAUAUUUCACAGGAAACGUAAAACAAUAUUUUAUCUAUUUUGUUUUAUUUUAUUUAUUUUCCUUUAAAAUUUUCUAAUUAUUGAUGCUAGUGAUUGCUCAUCAGUUUAUAUAUUGUUGAUGUCAAGAAUUUUCUAAACUUUCAAAAGAUUGUAAAAUAAUUCUUUGUUUGGAACAGUGGGUCUCGAAGCAUCUAAAGCUAUAAAUAUACCAUGUAAAUAAAUAUUGGAUUGAAAAACACUUGGAUAGAAAAAGUUGUUGGCAGCCUGUGGGAAUCGAACCCACAUCUCCUGUGGACAUGACAGGCAUUCUACUAUUGAACCAAAGCAGUUCUUCAAAUUUCUCAAUCCAUUUUAGAAACUUUAUUCUUACUAGCAAAAAUUGUAUAUUGUUGAUGUUAUAAUAAUUUUGUGAAUUUUUGAGAGGAUGUGAAAUAUUCUUUUUUAGAACAGUAGGUCUCAAAGCACGGCUGUAAAUAUUGGAUUGAAAACCCAUUUUGGACAGAAAAAGUCAAAAGUCUGUCUGUGGGACUCAAACCUACGUCUAUUACUUAUAGCUUUAUGUGCUUUCAGAUCCCCUUUUCCAAAAAAUGAAUGUAAUUUUUUUUUUUUUUAAUUACAGUUUAGUCUAGGCUUCUGUGACAUUUAAAAUCAAUUGUGACAUUUGCCUAUCGGUUUAUUGUAUAUAAAAAUCUACCUCAGGUAAAUAUUUGCUAAAUUGAACAUUAGAAAACAAAGUUUUCCUGUCAGUUUUCAGGGAACGAAUAUAUUCUUUCUAAAAAAAAUUUUUUUGUUAAAGAAUACACUUUUCUACCACCACCACUACUGCUGCUGCUACAGCCAUUACUACUACUACUACCACCACCACUGCUACUACUACUUAUCUGUUGGUUUGCUGUUCUUUAGAAUUGUACUGGCAACACAAUUCUUUAUAGUGUUUUUUCUCUACUAAAUUAGGAAUCGGUUAUUUUGAUUAAACUGUUUAAUAAAAUGAUAUCCAGUAGCUUACUGUAGCCAUCGCAGUUCCCUUUAAACUAAUUAUUAUAGUUGUAAUUAUUAUGUUGGUAAAACUAUUUCUGAACAGGACAACCUUUUAUGUGGGUAAAGUGGCAGAAAUAUGAGAACCUCUGAUGAAAUAACUUGAGGUAUUUAUUUCAGCUUCUUGCAUUGCGAGUUCAGUUCCCUCUGAGGUCAUUUUUUGCCUUUUAUCCUUCUGGGGCUCAAUAAAUAAAGUACUAAUCUGCAACAGCAGAUUGAUGGAAUUGUGUUGGAUGGGCUGAUUUUGUUGUAUUUAUUCUGGCUCUUUGCAUUCUGAGUUUAAACCUGUCGAUGGCCUUCUUGGGUGUGAGACUUAAUCUAUUGUUUGGUUUACGGUGUCACACCACAACCUUUACUAAAGGCCCACCUUGGGUGCUUUUAGCAGAGCCUACACUUUUGGAUGCAAUCAAGCCUGGUUUCUAGUUUGACAGUAGGAGACCUUCCCCUACCGUCCCUUCCUCGCUCCCUCUGUCUUGCCAAUCUCAGAACAUGAGCACUGCUUUUCCUCCUCAGUAAACAGUUUAUUAAUAGAUAAAUCCUAACCAAUAUUGUCUUCAGAUAAGAUUAGAUUGUCAAACAAAGUUCCUAACAGACUUCACUCAUUGUAGUUUUUAAAAUUAUUUAAUUCCAAUUUUUCUAGUUGAAAUUUUGUGAUGGUUUUAUCUGCUGUGAUCUCCUCAUUUGUCUAAUUUAAAUAUGAAGACUUGAACAUUUUGUUAUUCAGGUAUUUCCAUUAUUUGAUCUGACAAACCUAUUUCUAUUCUUGUUUGAAUUGUCAAUUUACAAGUGUUCAGAUGAAAUCUUUGUUAAUAACAUACAAUGUCUAUCUUAGGCUUCCAUUAACACAGUUAUCUAUCCAUAGAGACCUUCUAUCUAGUCCUGCUUUCAUUUGAGUAUAUAGAUUUCACCACAUCAUCCUAUGACCUUCAUGGUGGGCCACAUUGAAAUUAUAAUAUUUAUGUAUGACUUUACUAUUAUUCCAUAACAGAACCAGGAGAUAUAUUCCAUUAUGGCUCUAUUAUUAUAUUCUAUUAUGUUGGCUCCACAAUAUGGCCAACAGGUUUGUGUUAGAUAUUUUGGCAAUGUUACCAAUCCUAGCAGUUUUACCUGAAGCUUUUAGUUUCUUCUGUCUUUAGCUGUUUAGUAUCACCAUCAAAGUAUUUUUGUAAUAACUUACUUCUUAGUUUGUGUGAAAAACUAAUAAUGUGUGUGUAUAUAUAUAUAUAUAUAUAGUACAACCAGUCAUAUGAUGAGUAACUUAGGAAGUAUACUUUUGUCACCAUGGGUAAUGUCCCUUGACUGCUAGGGAUAGGUAUUGACAAUUCUAAUGCUGAUGACACCUAUUGAGGCAGAAACAGAGAAACUUGUUGUAUCCUUGAGCAAGGCACUUAAUUCCAUGUUGCUCUAGUCUAUUCUGCUGACACUACCAGCCUUGUGCUGUAGAAAUUGUCUCUCUCUCUCUCUCAGAUUCUUCUAAGUCAAAAGUGUUGCCGGUUUGUGAUAAUGCAGGUACCUAAAACAAUUUGUGCAAGUAUGGUACAAGUUACUAUGGUUAUACCAUACUUGCAUGUGAGCGACAGCCAAGCUUUUGUAUGCUCAAUAAUUAUGCAAUAUAUAUAUAUAUGUGUAUAUACAUAUACAAUGAUUGUGUGUUAAGGUGUUGAGCUAGUGGGUCAGAUACUAACAAGUUCAAACUUGGUUGACUUCUGUUAUUGUGCCACAGUGCAAGGCCCAUAACUCUGGCUGCUCCACAUUGAAUACCUUCGAACUGGAAAGGCAUUCAGCCAAGGUAUGUGUCUUUCAACAUAGGAAGCAAUCACAUUUCUCAUACAGUCUCACUCUCUUCUGCUCACCUCACAUAUUAAAUCACGAUUUUGCGACCUAAAAUAUUUUUCCUGGCAAUAAUGAUAACCUAAAUUAUAUUUGAAAACAAUCAAAAUAGUAGUUGGUGAGUUGUGAAUCUUUUUUAAGGUUUAAUAGAAAAUAGAAUAAAAAUUAGAGGGAUUAUGAAUUGUGAUCCUUAAUUACCACAAAAUAUUUGGUCUGAAAUUGGUGAAGAUUUUUUUAUUUUUUAUUGUAUUUCUUCCAAACACUGCCAGGUCAUGGCACAGUUUGUGAACACGUUGCAAUUUAACUCUCUUCUCGUUACAACUGUGUAGGUAUAAAGCAUAUAGUUAAACAUUUGUUUUUCAUGUAAAAUACCAGAAAAGGCUAACACAUUCUUAUAGAGUUUUGUGGAGCAUUCUGUGUGUGUGUACUUGCUUAGAGAUAGCGAAAAAGAUAGUUGUUGGAUUUGUAGCAGGGUUUUAUGAUCAUGUCUACUUUUUUCAUUAUCAUCAUCAUCGUUUAACAUCCGUUUUCCAUUCUAGCAUGGGUUGGACGGUUCGACUGGGGUCUGGGAAGCCAGGAGGCUGCACCAGGCUCUAAUCUUGAUUUGGCAGA